CUUAGGUUGUCGAUCGAUUUAGUACGAGAUUUACGAUCGUUCUUAAACAGCAACUGCAAUACAAAAUGAUACUCAAUGGACAAAAACAUGCUAGCUUUUAACGAGAUGAAAAUGCAAGGUAAGACUUUAUUGUUGAAUUUAAAUAAAUUUUACAACAAAAA
Long non-coding RNA from Xenia sp. Carnegie-2017, 161 nucleotides. RefSeq lists it as uncharacterized. The transcript has 2 exons. The record is from RefSeq and is a predicted model, not a curated record. NCBI's taxonomy places the organism in Eukaryota, Metazoa, Cnidaria, Anthozoa, Malacalcyonacea, Xeniidae.